CCCGCAGCAACAGCGACAGCCAGAGCAGAGGCCGCAGUGGCGGCUGUGUCCAUGCCGGGGUGUCCAUUGCUUUCUUGGAUGUUCUGAGCAGUCACUCAGCAGAAGAGCGAUACAGAAUCCUCUGAAGACAAAUUACUCAAGUUUACAUCAGCCUCCACUACUUGUUGGCAAUAUGACCCCAAGUGUUCACAUUUAGCCUCUUUCCCACCACCACCUUGCCUCA
Molecule: long non-coding RNA, 223 nt
Organism: Microtus oregoni (creeping vole)
Lineage: Eukaryota; Metazoa; Chordata; Mammalia; Rodentia; Cricetidae
Exons: 3
Source: RefSeq, a predicted model, not a curated record